Molecule: ribosomal RNA, 465 nt
Filed under: uncultured bacterium
Lineage: Bacteria
Description: partial 16S ribosomal RNA
Rfam family: Bacterial small subunit ribosomal RNA
Source: RNAcentral
CCUACGGGAGGCAGCAGUGGGGAAUAUUGCGCAAUGGGCGAAAGCCUGACGCAGCGACGCCGCGUGAGGGAUGAAGGUCUUCGGAUCGUAAACCUCUGUCAGCAGGGAAGAACGGUCACUGUGCUAAUCAGCAGUGAAUUGACGGUACCUGCAAAGGAAGCACCGGCUAACUCCGUGCCAGCAGCCGCGGUAAUACGGAGGGUGCGAGCGUUAAGCGGAAUUACUGGGCGUAAAGCGCUCGUAGGCGGUAUGUCAAGUCAAGGGGGAAAUCCCCGCGCUCAACGUGGGAACUGCCUUUGAAACUGGCAAACUGGAGUGUGUGAGAGGAUAGUGGAAUUCCAGGUGUAGGAGUGAAAUCCGUAGAUAUCUGGAGGAACAUCAGUGGCGAAGGCGACUAUCUGGCACAUAACUGACGCUGAGGAGCGAAAGCGUGGGUAGCAAACAGGAUUAGAUACCCGGGUAGUC